GUGAGUUGGCAGAGAUAUGUAAUUGACUUAGGAUCAAAAGACAGGGAACUUACCCCUACUCACUA
This 65-nucleotide transfer RNA is filed under the name Sipunculus nudus (marine worm). RNAcentral's name for it is "tRNA-Leu". Lineage: Eukaryota; Metazoa; Annelida; Sipuncula; Golfingiida; Sipunculidae. The record is from RNAcentral.